Hemiscyllium ocellatum (epaulette shark) is the source of this 1311-nucleotide RNA transcript. It is a transcript of the gene named zinc finger DHHC-type palmitoyltransferase 4, with no coding region annotated. The transcript has 9 exons. The record is from RefSeq and is a predicted model, not a curated record. NCBI's taxonomy places the organism in Eukaryota, Metazoa, Chordata, Chondrichthyes, Orectolobiformes, Hemiscylliidae.
GGCCUCCCUGCCCCGAUUCAUUGACAUGUGAGGGGACCUCAGCUGGUUGUGGAAUUCACGGGUCAGGAGAUGUUGCUGAAGGAGCUUUGGUGCUGACUUUCAAGAACUGAACAAAUCCUGGCCUUGACACUGAGUCAUAUUUUGGGCACGGAGAUGGAUUUCCUUAUUCUGUUUCUCAUUUACUUGGCUGUUUGUCUCUUCUGCAUGGUGGUUGCCAUCAAAUUUUCAAGACAAAGUCAGGAAUGUUUCGCAAGGAUCUCGCACUACAUCACUCUGGUGAUUGGACCAGUGAUUCCUCGAUGGUUACAGUUAGCAGUGCAGCUUACUUUACAUAGGUUCGUCCACCAGAGGAACUCCUUUUUCCUGGUUUUGCACCUUCUUUUAGAAGUAGCUGUGUAUGGAGAAUAUUCAUGGGAAGUGUAUCCUUACUGCAUGGAACUGGGAUUCGGACAUAGUAUCUUGCUGCUGCCUUACAUCCUGCUGCUCGGGAAGAUGUACUUUUUCUAUCUAUGCUGCUCCAGAGACCCUGGUACGAUUUCUCCAUCAAACCAUAAGCAGCUGCUGAAGGUGUACACGUAUGAUGGAAUUUUGUAUCAUCAGGCCCACAUCUGCCCUACGUGUGAACUUGCAAAGCCUGCAAGGUCAAAGCACUGCCGUGUGUGUAACCGGUGCGUCCAUCGAUUUGACCACCAUUGUGUCUGGGUGAAUAACUGCAUUGGGGCAUUAAAUAUACGCUACUUCCUGUUGUACCUGGUGACGCUGUCUGGAAUGGCUGCUGCAGUGGGAACAGUGACUGUAAGGUUCCUUGUCCAGGUGGCGCUGCUGUCCAACUUGCAUCAGGCGAUGUAUGUGAAUGCUGAUGGUGAACACGUGCCUGUCGGUAUCCUGUAUAUAGUCCAGAAACUGUUCCUGACCUUUCCUCGGAUCCUUUUCAUGCUGGGCUUCACACUCCUCAUCUUCUUUCUGCUGGCAGGUUAUACUGCAUUUCACUUCUAUUUGCUGAUGACCAAUCAGACUUCAAAUGAGUGGUACAAACAUAAGAACAGUUGCCAGUGCCACAUGGACAACAGCAGGCCAGACAAAUGCCUGCAGGGUAACACCUAUCAUAGAGGAUACCUCAGAAAUGUGAAAGAAAUCCUAAGCCCUGAGACACAACAGAAAAAAGUCAGAUAACAGGGACAGAAGUGGACAUUUGUACACUCUCAGAGAAAGUCUUCUGUUCAAUUGUGAAAUGGUUGUACAAGAGAGAACAUCUUUGGCACUUGUGCAGGAUUGGGGACUUUUUCGACAACAUCCAUGGCUGCCUCCAAC